GACGUAGGGCGCGAGCGUUGUCCGGAAUUAUUGGGCGUAAAGAGCUCGUAGGCGGUGUGUCGCGUCGGCCGUGAAAACCUGCAGCUUAACUGUGGGCGUGCGGUCGAUACGGGCAUCACUGGAGUUCGGCAGGGGAGACUGGAAUUCCUGGUGUAGCGGUGAAAUGCGUAGAUAUCGAGAGGAACACCUGCGGCGAAGGCGGGUUGCUGGGCUGAUACUGACGCUGAGGCGCGAAAGCCAGGGGAGCGAACGGG
RNAcentral lists this ribosomal RNA (254 nucleotides) under uncultured bacterium. Its description in RNAcentral is "partial 16S ribosomal RNA". It matches the Rfam family "Bacterial small subunit ribosomal RNA", at positions 524 to 776 of the family's 1533-position model. The record is from RNAcentral.